This 69-nucleotide antisense RNA is filed under the name Micromonospora auratinigra. RNAcentral's name for it is "ASpks TB sRNA". It matches the Rfam family "ASpks TB sRNA". The record is from RNAcentral. Lineage: Bacteria; Bacillati; Actinomycetota; Actinomycetes; Micromonosporales; Micromonosporaceae.
CUUGAUCGACCCGAGCCAGAGCGGCUGCUCCCGGUCCCGCCCGUAGGUGGCCAGCAGCGCCUGCGCCUC